CGGCCUUCGGGUUGUAAACCUCUUUCAGUAGGGAAGAAGCGAAAGUGACGGUACCUGCAGAAGAAGCGCCGGCUAACUACGUGCCAGCAGCCGCGGUAAUACGUAGGGCGCAAGCGUUAUCCGGAAUUAUUGGGCGUAAAGGGCUCGUAGGCGGUUUGUCGCGUCUGCCGUGAAAGUCCGGGGCUCAACUCCGGAUCUGCGGUGGGUACGGGCAGACUAGAGUGAUGUAGGGGAGACUGGAAUUCCUGGUGUAGCGGUGAAAUGCGCAGAUAUCAGGAGGAACACCGAUGGCGAAGGCAGGUCUCUGGGCAUUAACUGACGCUGAGGAGCGAAAGCAUGGGGAGCGAACAGGAUUAGAUACCCUGGUAGUCCAUGCCGUAAACGUUGGGCACUAGGUGUGGGGGACAUUCCACGUUUUCCGCGCCGUAGCUAACGCAUUAAGUGCCCCGCCUGGGGAGUACGGCCGCAAGGCUAAAACUCAAAGGAAUUGACGGGGGUCCGCACAAGCGGCGGAGCAUGCGGAUUAAUUCGAUGCAACGCGAAGAACCUUACCAAGGCUUGACAUGGACCGGACCGGGCUGGAAACAGUCUUUCCCCUUUGGGGCUGGUUUACAGGUGGUGCAUGGUUGUCGUCAGCUCGUGUCGUGAGAUGUUGGGUUAAGUCCCGCAACGAGCGCAACCCUCGUUCUAUGUUGCCAGCAC
RNAcentral lists this ribosomal RNA (702 nucleotides) under uncultured Arthrobacter sp. RNAcentral describes it as "bacterial SSU rRNA". It matches the Rfam family "Bacterial small subunit ribosomal RNA", at positions 412 to 1124 of the family's 1533-position model. The record is from RNAcentral. Lineage: Bacteria; Bacillati; Actinomycetota; Actinomycetes; Micrococcales; Micrococcaceae.